RNAcentral lists this ribosomal RNA (448 nucleotides) under uncultured bacterium. RNAcentral describes it as "partial 16S ribosomal RNA". It matches the Rfam family "Bacterial small subunit ribosomal RNA", at positions 355 to 795 of the family's 1533-position model. The record is from RNAcentral.
UAGGGAAUCUUCCACAAUGGACGCAAGUCUGAUGGAGCAACGCCGCGUGAGUGAAGAAGGUUUUCGGACCGUAAAGCUCUGUUGUUGGUGAAGAAGGAUAGAGGUAGUAACUGGCCUUUAUUUGACGGUAAUCAACCAGAAAGUCACGGCUAACUACGUGCCAGCAGCCGCGGUAAUACGUAGGUGGCAAGCGUUGUCCGGAUUUAUUGGGCGUAAAGCGAGCGCAGGCGGAAGAAUAAGUCUGAUGUGAAAGCCCUCGGCUUAACCGAGGAAUUGCAUCGGAAACUGUUUUUCUUGAGUGCAGAAGAGGAGAGUAGAACUCCAUGUGUAGCGGUGGAAUGCGUAGAUAUAUGGAAGAAUACCAGUGGCGAAGGCGGCUCUCUGGUCUGCAACUGACGCUGAGGCUCGAAAGCAUGGGUAGCGAACAGGAUUAGAUACCCUGGUAGUC